This 253-nucleotide ribosomal RNA is filed under the name uncultured bacterium. Its description in RNAcentral is "partial 16S ribosomal RNA". It matches the Rfam family "Bacterial small subunit ribosomal RNA", at positions 524 to 776 of the family's 1533-position model. The record is from RNAcentral.
UACGAAGGGGGCUAGCGUUGCUCGGAAUGACUGGGCGUAAAGGGCGCGUAGGCGGAUGGCACAGUCAGAUGUGAAAUUCCCGGGCUUAACCUGGGGGCUGCAUUUGAUACGUGUUGUCUUGAGUUCGGAAGAGGGUCGUGGAAUUCCCAGUGUAGAGGUGAAAUUCGUAGAUAUUGGGAAGAACACCGGUGGCGAAGGCGGCGACCUGGUCCGAGACUGACGCUGAGGCGCGAAAGCGUGGGGAGCAAACAGG